This 1161-nucleotide long non-coding RNA is filed under the name Gadus morhua (Atlantic cod). RNAcentral describes it as "lncRNA (ENSGMOG00000026735.1)". The record is from RNAcentral. Lineage: Eukaryota; Metazoa; Chordata; Actinopteri; Gadiformes; Gadidae.
AUGACAGCACCAACAAUGGACCCAGCGGACGAUCAAGUUAGCCGUGAGUGGGAGGAUUUAUUUAUUAUGAAGGCAAUAGAACGCUGGGAGAGUUUGGGGUACCACCCGGUUCCUCCUGGCACUCCAGCUCCCGCACUGACUCCGGUCCCCGAGCCCUGUCCGGUUCCUGAGCCCACUCCGCGCUUUCCAGCGUGGUACUGGCCUGGUCGCCUGCUUGAGGUGGUCCGUCCUCCGCUCCUGCCUGAGGGGGCCCGCCCCCUGCUCCUUCCAGAGGGGUACCGGCCUCUGCUUCCACCGGAGGGGGUCCGCCCUCCAGACCGUCCAGGGGAGGCACGCCCUCUACCUGGCCUUUCACCAGAGGGGACCCGCCCUCUACCCUGUCCACCAGAGGGGACCCGCCCUCUGCCUGGCCUUCUACCAGAGGGGACCCGCCCUCUGCCUGGCCUUCUACCAGAGGGGACCCGCCCUCUGCCUGGCCUUCUACAAGAGGGGACCCGCCCUCUACCCUGUCCACCAGAGAGGACCCGCCCUUUGCCUGGCCCUCCUCCUGAGGGGACCCGCCCUUUGCCUGGCCCUCCUCCUGAGGGGACCCGCCCUCUACCUGGCCUGCCUCCUGAGGGGACCCGCCCUCUACCUGGCCUGCCUCCUGAGGGGACCCGCCCUCUACCUGGCCUUCCUCUUGAGGGGACCCGCCCUCUACCUCGCCUUCGCCGGCCUCCUGAAGGGUUCCGCCUUCACCGCUGCCGGCCUUCUGAGGGGGUUCUGUGCCACUGCAGGUCUCCUGAGGGACUGAGCCCUCAUCGUCCUUGCCGCCGGCCUCCUGAAGGGUUCCGCCUUCACUCUGCCUCUGCUUGCCCCCCAGGCCGUCCGCCUGAGGCUCCCUGCCAUGCCCUGGGGCAGUUUUCUGGACGCCCGCCUGACGUCCCUCGGCUCUGCCGCAGUCCAUUUUUUUUUGAUUCCCCCCUCCUGGCGCCCCUCCACCCACCCGUUUUGGGUUUGACUUUCUUUGUUUUUUGUUUGUCGUGGGUCGCCUGGGAGUCGACCCUUAAGGGGGGGGUACUGUCAGGGUGUGGGUGUCUCCCUGUGUUUUUCCCUCCUGUGUUGAUUACUGUUCCCUCCCCUAAUGUGUCUCAGCUGUUCCUCGUUGUGUUUGUUAUUUAA